UCAAGGCUGAGACCAAAGGCGAUGAUGUGGAUGAAAGAGAGAUGGUGUUGGGAUCCACUCAGCAUCAGAGAAAAAAAAUCUACAAAACAAGUUCUGCCAGCGGUGGCUCCGACAAGGAUCCUCCGACAUUCAAGUCAGUGAGAUGGUUCGAGAGAAAAGAGUGACAGUAUCUGGAUCGCAAAAAUAGUAUGUGCAUGCCCCCCUUACUUGGAGAGGUCCCAACUUACCUCUAUUUAUAGAGGAAACAAAAUGAAUGGUG
This 259-nucleotide long non-coding RNA is filed under the name Elaeis guineensis (African oil palm). RNAcentral's name for it is "long non-coding RNA (EGUI_LNC015230)". The record is from RNAcentral. Lineage: Eukaryota; Viridiplantae; Streptophyta; Magnoliopsida; Arecales; Arecaceae.